Tympanuchus pallidicinctus (lesser prairie-chicken) is the source of this 3714-nucleotide RNA transcript. It is a transcript of the gene named neuropilin and tolloid like 1, with no coding region annotated. Lineage: Eukaryota; Metazoa; Chordata; Aves; Galliformes; Phasianidae. The transcript is spliced from 11 exons. The record is from RefSeq and is a predicted model, not a curated record.
AGCCCCUUCCCUGGCAGCUCCCCGCCCCCAGACGCACUUUUCCCGUAGAGCGCAGAGCAUCAGGUGCGGGUGUGGAGCAGCGGCCGCCCGCUUCCCCCGCACCCCAAUGGCACAGAUCCUCCUUCCCCUCACUCCCUCGUGCUAUGUGCCCCCUCCAUCCGCCACCCUCUCCUGUGGGCGUCUGCUCUGUCCGCCCCGCUUUUUCUCGCUGAAAUCCUUUCCCCUUGUCUCAGUACUCUCAGUGUAUUUGCCCCACUCUUCUCCCUCCGCAGCCAGAGGGAUGAGGGCCUGGGGGUGGGGGGGAUAUAGCUGAGGAAGCGGAUAAGCUUGGGAGAGGGAGAGGGGAAGCUAACGGGAGAGAUUUUGCUGUCGUCUAAGGGCUGAUUGGAAGAGGCAAUCAUUGUAUCUGCGGUUGGAGGAUUAGAGGAGAAACUUUUAUUGCUCCCUUUUGUGAGUGCGUGCGUGCAAAUGGAGAAGCCUCUUCUCCAAGGGGAGCAUCCUUUCGGUUGGCAUCAGGUGCAGCUCAGGGAGGGACUGAGAGCAUUUCCCUCAUCCGUGAGCUGAGGGACGAGGGGAAACAACCCCUCUUCUCUCACUCUUCCUUCUCCAGUUCUGAAAUCGUUCCUUCUCCAGCACUGCCGCCUCCCCGUUCCUCCCCUCCCCUUCCCUUCCCCUGCUCUGGAUGAGUGGAAUAGCCUCCAGGGUUUCCUCCUGCUCCUCGCCCCGGACCGGAGCAGUGAGGGGAUAUCACUAACCCUCAUCCGUCUCCGUCUCGCUCCAUCCGUUCCCGAGAGGACUUCAGACGGUGCCAUGUGUUUUCAGCCUCUCGCCGCUGCAACCACUUGAUACCACGCAACGCGCAGGGAGAGAGAGGCUUUUGCAAAAUGGAUUUGUUCGAUUUUAAAGGAUUUCUUCUCUAAUAAGGAUCGCAUUGCACACAAAUAUGACUAAAUCCCCUAUUUGGUAAAUCUUUCUUCCCCCACCCCUCCUCUUUGGGUUCCCUCCCUCCCACCCCCACCCCUUCAGAGGAGCAAGCACGGGGAGCUGAUGACGGACCCAUUAAUCCCUUCUUCAAUGCAUCAAAAGAAGCCGAAGGGCUGGAAGUCGCUGGGCGCGGAGUCCUGCAGGAGAUGUUUCCCUCCGCUCUGGGUUCUGUAUGAAGCUGGGGACUAAGGCUCGGCUCGCCCCGCCGCAGCUCGCCGGCACCUGGAGGCGCGGGUCGCCGCCGUGCCCGCUGCCGCGAUGCUCCGCUGCCGGCAGUGCUGCCGGGAGCUCGCCGUGAUGGGAUCGAGCCGGCCGUGAUCGGUGGAAGGCGGCGAGGGAGAGAGCGAGCGGGAAGAAGGGCUGCUCCGCUCCGCUGUGUGUGGGCUCCGCGUUUUGGUGUUUUUUUUGUUGUUUUGGUUUGGAUUUUUUGUUUGUUUGUUUUUUCUUUUUUCUUUUCCUACUUCCAUCCUCUCCCUGCCACUGGAAGUCCUCCCGUAUCUAAAUGGAAUUAGUGGAGACCGAAGCCCCUUGUGUAAGGCACAGACAUGACCCAUGGGCGCAGCUUCCUUCACAUCGUAGCAAGUCUAAUCAUCCUACAUUUGUCUGGGGCAACCAAAAAAGGAACAGAAAAGCAGACUACUGCCGAAGGACAGAAACCAGUGCAGUGUGGAACUUGGACAAAAUAUGCGGAAGGAGGCAUCUUCACUUCUCCCAAUUAUCCCAACAAGUAUCCUCCUGACAGAGAGUGUGUCUACAUUAUAGAAGCUGCCCCUAGACAAUGCAUUGAACUACACUUUGAUGAAAAAUAUUCCAUAGAGCCUUCUUGGGAAUGUAAAUUUGAUCACAUUGAAGUACGAGAUGGACCUUUUGGCUUUUCUCCAAUCAUUGGACGUUUCUGUGGACAGCAAAAUCCACCUAUGAUAAAAUCCAGUGGCAGAUUUCUGUGGAUUAAAUUUUUUGCUGAUGGUGAGCUGGAAUCUAUGGGGUUUUCUGCUCGAUAUAAUUUUACACCUGAUCCAGAUUUUAAGGACCUUGGAGUUUUGAAACCAUUGCCAGGAUUCAUUUUUCUGAUAUUUUGUUAUUUAGUUUGUGAGUUUGAAAUGGGAGGACCUGAAGGAAUUGUGGAAUCUGUACAAAUUGUCAAGGAAGGAAAAGCUUCUGAAACUGAAGCAGUAGACUGUAAAUGGUACAUCCGAGCACCACCCCGAUCCAAGAUAUAUUUGCGAUUCUUGGACUAUGAGAUGCAGAAUUCCAAUGAAUGCAAAAGGAAUUUUGUAGCUGUCUAUGAUGGAAGCAGCUCUGUGGAGGAUUUAAAAGCAAAGUUUUGCAGCACUGUUGCAAAUGAUGUAAUGCUGCGGACAGGUCUUGGAGUAAUCCGUCUGUGGGCAGAUGAAGGCAGUCGAAGCAGCCGAUUCCAGAUGCUCUUCACAUCUUUCCAAGAACCCCCUUGUGAAGCCAACACUUUCUUUUGCCACAGUAAUAUGUGUAUUAAUAAUACAUUGGUCUGCAAUGGACUCCAGAACUGUGUGUAUCCUUGGGAUGAAAACCACUGCAAAGAAAAAAGAAAAGCUAACCUAUUGGACCAACUCACCAAUACCAGUGGGACUAUAAUUGGGGUGACCUCUUGCAUUGUCAUCAUCCUCAUUGUUAUCUCUGUGAUAGUACAGAUCAAGCAGCCUCGUAAAAAAUUUGUCCAAAGGAAAACAGACUUUGAUCAAACAGUGUUCCAGGAGGUGUUUGAGCCUCCUCAUUAUGAGUUAUGCACCCUCAGAGGGACAGGGACUACAGCUGACCUUGCUGAUGUUGCAGAUGACUUUGAAAAUUAUCAUAAACUGCGGAGAUCAUCUUCAAAAUGCAUUCAUGACCAUCACUGUGGAUCACAACUGUCUAGCACUAAGGGCAGCCGUAGUAACCUCAGCACAAGAGAUGCUUCUGUCUUGACAGAAAUACAACCCCAGCCUGUAAAACCCCUCAUUCAACCCGUGAACAGGAGAAAUAUCCUUGUCAUGAAGCAUAGCUACUCACAAGAUGCUGCAGAUGCGUGUGAGAUAGAUGAAAUUGAAGAGGUACCAACCACAAGCCACAGGCUGUCAAGACAUGAUAAAGCUGUUCAGCGCCAUAACAUUCCAGGUUCUGCCUCAUUGGGUCUCUAAGCAAACAUGAGUCUGAGUACAACACAACUAGGGUCUAAGAGACAAACCUGAGAGUUCUUGAGAAUAGUGCGCACCUGGGUGAUUUUGAACAUGCUACAAUGAAAUGUGAAACUAUGGACCUUGGAAACACCAGCUAGAGGUUUUAUGGACUCUCUGACCAGCUAUUCUCAUAUCAUGACAAAAUUCAGCAAACAGUGUUGAGUAAAAUCACUAGAUGGCAAUAAGACUUUCAUCAUUAUGCUUAUCAGUCCUUUCUCUUUUUCUAUUUCUCUCUUCUUUUCAUUGCAAGUAAAAUUCCCAAUUUCAGGAACAAUUUAUUAAAAUCAGGUAUUUAGCAGCUCAUCUUCAAUAGAAAUGUUUGUUGGAUAAGCAUCUAGCAAUAUGGCUGAAUUUGACAUUGAGAAAAUAAUCUGCAUGUAUGUUACUGAAUAUUUGAGUUGGCAAAAAUCUCUUGAUUAGACACAUUGUAAAAAGCAUGCAUUCACAACUGUUGCUGUUACUGUUCCAUUUCUGUGUCAUAUGCUUGCUACUUGUAACUUUUUAUAUAAAGAUACAUAAAAAAAUGUAUAAUAAUUUC